UUUAAAUUCUGCAGCAGUAAUAACAAACUGAAAAAGUCAUAUUCCUUGAGUAAUGCAUAGUGUGUCACAAGUGUUCUUAUGAGCAAUAGCACUUCUGUUGAUCUUGCUACAACUUUAACCAGUUUAUAUUAAUUUUCAACUGUUAGCUACCUGGGAGCAGAGAACUCUUGCAAGUAAACCUGUAGAGUAAGGACUCAGAGUGGAAUCACAGUCUGUUCACUGAAUGAAAAGGAAUGAGGUGUCACUGUGCACACAGGGCAUAGUGUGCAGGAGAAGAAGUGAGUGACAGAAACAUGACUUGGACACCAGGAUCCUGUCUGGAUGAAGUGAAGUUCAGCUGACUUCCUGAACUGAAACCUUGAAAACUGCACUACUGAUACCUGUACAGCUGACUGCUCUGCCAAGAGAGAAGAGAUGAGCAAAUGGUGCCUUUUGCAUGGUUUCUUGCUUGCACCAGCUCAAACAGGGCACCCAGCAUCUGAUCUGACUGCAGGUGAACAAGACUAUUUUUCAACUGCUUGCAGUAUGCUGCUGAUGUGCAUAUAUAGAGAAUGAGAGAGCUGUAGGUGAGAUCCUAGUGGAAGAGGCAAACAGGCAGGAGAGGUCAAGAAAAGCUGUAGAAGCUCCAGCAACAUCAGUCUGUUGGUGACAUCUCUGCUCCAUCUCCUGAGUAGUGAGCACAGCCCUUUGCCCUUGACCUGGGCUGCAUGGUCAUCUGGCUUCCAGCAAGCUGGAAGCUUCACUGGAAAUUACUUCCCUUAAGAUAAUGUCAGAGAAAAAUUGUACUAGAAUGUUCUAUUUUCUAAUUUUGUAAAUGUACAAGAUCUGCUUAAAAGGGCUGAACUCUUUCUUCUCAAUGUUUAUAAAAUUGAAGCAUUGACUUGUUUUGGUAAAAGUUGGUCUGUGUUAGAAAAGUGAAAGCUUGUAAGUAGUAAAUAGUCAGAAAAAUGAAACCAACCUCUCCUUGUUCUGUUUUCUAUUUUUUUUGGAAAAAUAAACUCUGUGAGAACCAUUAUUUUUUUUUCCUC
Molecule: long non-coding RNA, 1028 nt
Filed under: Numida meleagris (helmeted guineafowl)
Lineage: Eukaryota; Metazoa; Chordata; Aves; Galliformes; Numididae
Description: lncRNA (ENSNMEG00000013493.1)
Source: RNAcentral